GNGCAANCCGAGCAAUUUCCUACGGGAGGCAGCAGUGGGGAAUCUUAGACAAUGGGCGCAAGCCUGAUCUAGCCAUGCCGCGUGAGUGAUGAAGGCCUUAGGGUCGUAAAGCUCUUUCGCCAGGGAUGAUAAUGACAGUACCUGGUAAGGAAACCCCGGCUAACUCCGUGCCANCAGCCGCGGUAAUAA
This 189-nucleotide ribosomal RNA is filed under the name uncultured bacterium. RNAcentral's name for it is "partial 16S ribosomal RNA". It matches the Rfam family "Bacterial small subunit ribosomal RNA", at positions 321 to 526 of the family's 1533-position model. The record is from RNAcentral.